Molecule: transfer RNA, 76 nt
Filed under: Thermodesulfobium narugense DSM 14796
Lineage: Bacteria; Pseudomonadati; Thermodesulfobiota; Thermodesulfobiia; Thermodesulfobiales; Thermodesulfobiaceae
Description: tRNA-Thr (CGT) (tRNA-Thr-CGT-1-1)
Rfam family: tRNA
About the family: Transfer RNA (tRNA) molecules are approximately 80 nucleotides in length. Their secondary structure includes four short double-helical elements and three loops (D, anti-codon, and T loops). Further hydrogen bonds mediate the characteristic L-shaped molecular structure. tRNAs have two regions of fundamental functional importance: the anti-codon, which is responsible for specific mRNA codon recognition, and the 3' end, to which the tRNAs corresponding amino acid is attached (by aminoacyl-tRNA synthetases). tRNAs cope with the degeneracy of the genetic code in two manners: having more than one tRNA (with a specific anti-codon) for a particular amino acid; and 'wobble' base-pairing, i.e. permitting non-standard base-pairing at the 3rd anti-codon position.
Source: RNAcentral
GCCAACGUAGCUCAGCUGGCAGAGCAACUGAUUCGUAAUCAGUAGGUCGGCGGUUCGAAUCCGCCCGUUGGCUCCA